This 292-nucleotide ribosomal RNA is filed under the name uncultured bacterium. RNAcentral describes it as "partial 16S ribosomal RNA". It matches the Rfam family "Bacterial small subunit ribosomal RNA", at positions 505 to 796 of the family's 1533-position model. The record is from RNAcentral.
GUGCCAGCCGCCGCGGUAAAACGUAGGAGGCGAGCGUUAUCCGGAUUUACUGGGUGUAAAGCGCGUGCAGGCGGUUUGGUAAGUUGGAUGUGAAAGCUCCUGGCUUAACUGGGAGAGGUCGUUCAAAACUACCAGACUUGAGGGCGGUAGAGGGAGGUGGAAUUCCGUGUGUAGUGGUGAAAUGCGUAGAUAUACGGAGGAACACCAGUGGCGAAAGCGGCCUCCUAGACCGAUCCUGACGCUCAGACGCGAAAGCUAGGGUAGCAAACGGGAUUAGAAACCCCCGUAGUCC